UUUUUUUUAUAAUGAUAAGGAAGAACUUAAACAAGAACAAGAGCAAGAAACAAAUUUUUUUUUUUUUUUGAAUUUAUAAAAACUAAAACAACAAAACAGAAAAGAUAAAGGUUGGAAUGACACAACCUGUUGGGUAGGAGCUUUUGAAGCUCUGAUACCAGAUGAUAUACGCUCCGAAGGGCUAACGGACGGACAGAAAGGGUUUAUCGAGUUGGCCUUCGCUCUCUCUCGAUGGAACCACGAACAUAGAAGAAUCGAUCGAUGGAUAGACGUGAUUGACUCGCUCAAUCAAUGGACGAACAAGAGGGAUGAAUCACUCAACACACUAUUAAUUCGCAGCUU
Molecule: long non-coding RNA, 342 nt
Filed under: Capsella rubella
Lineage: Eukaryota; Viridiplantae; Streptophyta; Magnoliopsida; Brassicales; Brassicaceae
Description: long non-coding RNA (CRUB_LNC000361)
Source: RNAcentral